Molecule: ribosomal RNA, 460 nt
Filed under: uncultured bacterium
Lineage: Bacteria
Description: partial 16S ribosomal RNA
Rfam family: Bacterial small subunit ribosomal RNA
Source: RNAcentral
CCUACGGGAGGCAGCAGUGAGGAAUAUUGGUCAAUGGACGAGAGUCUGAACCAGCCAAGUAGCGUGAAGGCUGACUGCCCUAUGGGUUGUAAACUUCUUUUAUAUGGGAAUAAAAUGUUCCACGUGUGGGCUUUUGUAUGUACCAUAUGAAUAAGGAUCGGCUAACUCCGUGCCAGCAGCCGCGGUAAUACGGAGGGUCCGAGCGUUAUCCGGAUUUAUUGGGUUUAAAGGGAUCGGAGGUGGAUUGUUAAGUCAGUUGUGAAAGUUUGCGGCUCAACCGUAAAAGUGCAGUUGAAACUGGCAGUCUUGAGUACAGUAGAGGUGGGCGGAAUUCGUGGUGUAGCGGUGAAAUGCUUAGAUAUCACGAAGAACUCCGAUUGCGAAGGCAGCUCACUGGACUGCAACUGACACUGAGGCUCGAAAGUGUGGGUAUCAAACAGGAUUAGAGACCCCAGUAGUC